ACUUUCAACAACGGAUCUCUUGGUUCUGGCAUCGAUGAAGAACGCAGCAAAAUGCGAUAAGUAAUGUGAAUUGCAGAAUUCAGUGAAUCAUCGAAUCUUUGAACGCACAUUGCGCCCGCCAGUAUUCUGGCGGGCAUGCCUGUUCGAGCGUCAUUUCAACCCUCAAGCCCAGCUUGGUGUUGGGAGCUGCAGUCCUGCUGCACUCCCCAAAUACAUUGGCGGUCACGUCGAGCUUCCAUAGCGUAGUAAUUUACACAUCGUUACUGGUAAUCGUCGCGGCCACGCCGUUAAACCCCAACUUCUGAAUGUUGACCUCGGAUCAGGUAGGAAUACCCGCUGAACUUAAGCAUAUCAAUAAGCGGAGGAAAAGAAACCAACAGGGAUUGCCCUAGUAACGGCGAGUGAAGCGGCAACAGCUCAAAUUUGAAAUCUGGCUUUCGGGCCCGAGUUGUAAUUUGUAGAGGAUGAUUUUGAUGCGGUGCCUUCCGAGUUCCCUGGAACGGGACGCCAUAGAGGGUGAGAGCCCCGUCUGGUUGGAUGCCAAAUCUCUGUAAAUCUCCUUCGACGAGUCGAGUAGUUUGGGAAUGCUGCUCUAAAUGGGAGGUAUAUGUCUUCUAAAGCUAAAUACCGGCCAGAGACCGAUAGCGCACAAGUAGAGUGAUCGAAAGAUGAAAAGCACUUUGAAAAGAGAGUUAAAAAGUACGUGAAAUUGUUGAAAGGGAAGCGUUUAUGACCAGACUUGGGCUUGGUUAAUCAUCUGGGGUUCUCUCCAGUGCACUUUUCCAGUCCAGGCCAGCAUCAGUUUUCGCCGGGGGAUAAAGGCUUCGGGAAUGUGGCUCCCCUCGGGGAGUGUUAUAGCCCGUUGUGUAAUACCCUGGCGGGGACUGAGGUUCGCGCUUCUGCAAGGAUGCUGGCGUAAUGGUCAUCAACGACCCGUCUUGAAACACGGACCAAGGAGUCGUCUUCGUAUGCGAGUGUUCGGGUGUCAAACCCCUACGCGUAAUGAAAGUGAACGCAGGUGAGAGCUUCGGCGCAUCAUCGACCGAUCCUGAUGUUCUCGGAUGGAUUUGAGUAAGAGCAUACGGGGCCGGACCCGAAAGAAGGUGAACUAUGCCUGUGUAGGGUGAAGCCAGAGGAAACUCUGGUGGAGGCUCGCAGCGGUUCUGACGUGCAAAUCGAUCGUC
Molecule: ribosomal RNA, 1184 nt
Filed under: Fusarium graminearum
Lineage: Eukaryota; Fungi; Ascomycota; Sordariomycetes; Hypocreales; Nectriaceae
Description: eukaryotic LSU rRNA
Rfam family: Eukaryotic large subunit ribosomal RNA (bases 310-1184)
Source: RNAcentral